Pectinophora gossypiella (pink bollworm) is the source of this 1211-nucleotide long non-coding RNA. RefSeq lists it as uncharacterized. Lineage: Eukaryota; Metazoa; Arthropoda; Insecta; Lepidoptera; Gelechiidae. The transcript is spliced from 2 exons. The record is from RefSeq and is a predicted model, not a curated record.
UUUCAAUCAUUAUUUCCAUCACGCUUGUCUUAUGAGAGUAUAAAGGAUGGGAGGUCCUGUGGUGGCGCGAGUCAAAGUGAAUCACUCAACCUGGUUCCACAGCACACGAGCUUGUAAGAAAAAUGGCUAAAUUAGCGAUCAUCCUAGUUCUUUGCCUGCUGGUUGCCAUGGCGACGGCUGGUGACGACACGAAGGAGACCACGACAACUGUCGCUCCCCUCAACAACGACACAUCCCCGGACGCCCCCGACGCUCCUUCCAAUGACAACUCUUCAACCAAGCCCAGUGCUGACCGGAGAAGAUGAGGACAUCCGAUUGGUCGACCGCUUUGAACACUAUUAGACCUACAGCAUGUUUGAAAUUAUCUACAUCCUUACCUAACCUGAAGAUUUGACAGGUCCGGUUUUUACACAAGCGACUGCCUGUCUGAUCUUUCAACCCGCGAAGGAAAAGCCAGCUCAAUAUAGUCAAAAAAACAGCGGUCAAAGACUUAAAGACCAUUUACUUAUUUAUAACUUCACAGAGUAGACUUUUCUUAAAUAUUCGAAGGUUCUGAUAUACACAAACAAUUUCGUAGAAAGAAACCAAUUUUACUCAAAUGAGGAACUGAUGAAUCAGCAAAGACUCCUUCCGCAAAGCAUUUUUAUAAACGAGCGAUCGACGAAUUAGCAAAGACUUCGAGCGAAAUGUAACGGUAAUACCUUGAUGUUAAGGUUACAAAGGGUCCAGAAAGUGUAACCUACAAUGCAACUAGGUAGCCAAAAUCACUGAACCUACUACGGAAAUAAUGUGUCGUGGGUUUAUCACAACCAAAGGGUUUUCGUAUGAUCGUGAAUCAUAUAAAUAUUUAAAGGAACGUGAUGGACGUCAGGGUGCAGGAAUGGAAAGUUAGUCAGACAACAGAAUAAGAAAUGGCAAGAAAUGACUCGAUGAUGUAAAGACUUGAGUCAUUUCGGUUUAGCCAAUAUUGUUUGUGUAUUUAUUUCAUUGUGUUAAGUGCCAUAAAAAUACGAAGUAGAAUUGAUUUCUUUAAUCAUAAUAAAUUUAAUAAUAUUUUAUAUAUUUUUACCCUCUAACUGCCACGUAAUUCCAAUUUAUCCAACUGCGAAAAAGAGGGUAGUGCGUAAACUAAGAUGGUAAAGCGGGUAGUUUUAUAAGCGGUCGACGAAAUGUUUCGAAUGUAUUAAUAAAUGCUUAGCCAUUUUAGCAAA